CAUCUUAGUGGCGGACGGGUGAGUAACGCGUGGGGAACCUGCCCUGUACAGGGGGAUAACACUUAGAAAUAGGUGCUAAUACCGCGUAAGCGCACGGGGCUGCAUGGCCCAGUGUGAAAAACUCCGGUGGUAUAAGAUGGACCCGCGUCUGAUUAGCUUGUUGGCGGGGUAACGGCCCACCAAGGCGACGAUCAGUAGCCGGCCUGAGAGGGUGGACGGCCACAUUGGGACUGAGACACGGCCCAAACUCCUACGGAAGGCAGCAG
RNAcentral lists this ribosomal RNA (266 nucleotides) under uncultured bacterium. RNAcentral's name for it is "partial 16S ribosomal RNA". It matches the Rfam family "Bacterial small subunit ribosomal RNA", at positions 88 to 354 of the family's 1533-position model. The record is from RNAcentral.